GAUUUACUUUUUAGAUUCUUUGCACUCUGCUAUCAAGAAAGACAUUAAAUAUGUUGUGAAUAUGUAAGUAUUAUCUAUAUUUUUAGUUUGAUACAUUAAUGUGUAGGAUUGAUAACUUAUUUUUUUUAAAACACAUUUAGGGCUCUAAGAAUGUUUAUGGCACAGAAUACUGUUCACGAGGUAGGAAGAAUCCUACUUGGCUUCCUGUACGGUGCCCACGUCAAUCAGGAUCGGUAAAGUGUGGAUAUUAUGUCAUGAGGUACAAUCGACAGAUAAUAUUUAAUCCAGACACUCCAAUACCUAAUAUUUUCAAUUCAAAAAAGUUGUCUACUCAAGUUGAACUUGAUGAGGUACGGGAUGAAUGAGCCGGAUUUGAUGCGAACUACACUUAGUUUGGGUUAGAUAGUAAAUAUAGUUUUAGCAUUUAAUAUGUAAAACAUUGAACUACGCUUGG
This is a non-coding RNA of Momordica charantia (bitter melon), 454 nucleotides long. The record is from RefSeq and is a predicted model, not a curated record. Lineage: Eukaryota; Viridiplantae; Streptophyta; Magnoliopsida; Cucurbitales; Cucurbitaceae.